UACGUAGGGUGCGAGCGUUGUCCGGAAUUACUGGGCGUAAAGAGCUUGUAGGUGGUUUGUCGCGUUGUUCGUGAAAUCUCACGGCUUAACUGUGAGCGUGCGGGCGAUACGGGCAGACUAGAGUACUGCAGGGGAGACUGGAAUUCCUGGUGUAGCGGUGGAAUGCGCAGAUAUCAGGAGGAACACCGGUGGCGAAGGCGGGUCUCUGGGCAGUAACUGACGCUGAGAAGCGAAAGCGUGGGGAGCGAAC
This 250-nucleotide ribosomal RNA is filed under the name uncultured prokaryote. RNAcentral describes it as "partial 16S ribosomal RNA". It matches the Rfam family "Bacterial small subunit ribosomal RNA", at positions 524 to 773 of the family's 1533-position model. The record is from RNAcentral.